GCCUAAACAUGCAAGUCGAGCGGAACAAAGAAACUUGGUUCUGGGUGGAAGAGGGGGGGAGGGGAGAAAAAUGUGUGUAAACUUGCUUUAAGAAUGGGAAUAAUUCCUGAAAACGGUACUUAUACCCGAUAAUUGCUUGAACAACCGCAUGGUUCCAGAAUGAAAGACGGUUUGGCCUGUCACCAUCAGAUGUGCCCACGUCGCAUUAGCUAGUAGGUGAGGUAACGGCUCACCUAGGCGACGAUCCGUAGCCGGCCUGAGAGGGUGAUCGGCCACACUGGGACUGAGACACGGCCCAGACUCCUACGGGAGGCAGCAGUAGGGAAUAUUCCGCAAUGGGCGCAAGUCUGACGGAGCCACGCCGCGUGAGUAAUGAAGGCCUUCGGGUUGUAAAGCUCUUGUUGUUAGGGAAGAACAAGUGCAAGAGUAUAACCUUGCACCUUGACGGUACCGCACAGAAAGCCACGGCUAACUCCGUGCCAGCAGCCGCGGUAAUACGUAGGGGGCAAGCGUUGUCCGGAAUUAUUGGGCGUAAAGGGCUCGCAGGCGGUUUGUUAAGUCGGAUGUGAAAGCCCCCGGCUCAACCUGGGAGGGUCAUUGGAAA
Molecule: ribosomal RNA, 604 nt
Filed under: bacterium
Lineage: Bacteria
Description: bacterial SSU rRNA
Rfam family: Bacterial small subunit ribosomal RNA
Source: RNAcentral